AGACUCCUACGGGAGGCAGCAGUGGGUAAUAUUGCACAAUGGGCGCAAGCCUGAUGCAGCAACGCCGCGUGAGGGAUGACGGCCUUCGGGUUGUAAACCUCUUUUAGCAAGGAAGAAGCGAAAGUGACGGUACUUGCAGAAAAAGCGGCGGCUAACUACGUGCCAGCAGCCGCGGUAAUACGUAGGGCGCAAGCGUUAUCCGGAAUUAUUGGGAGUAAAGAGCUCGUAGGCGGUCUGUCGCGUCUGCUGUGAAAACCCGAGGCUCAACCUCGGGCCUGCAGUGGGUACGGGCAGACUAGAGUGCGGUAGGGGAGAUUGGAAUUCCUGGUGUAGCGGUGGAAUGCGCAGAUAUCAGGAGGAACACCGAUGGCAAAGGCAGAUCUCUGGGCCGUAACUGACGCUGAGGAGCGAAAGGGUGGGGAGCAAACAGGCUUAGAUACCCUGGUAGUCCACCCCGUAAACGUUGGGAACUAGAUGUGGGGUCCAUUCCACGGAUUCCGUGACGCAGCUAACGCAUUAAGUUCCCCGCCUGGGGAGUACGGCCGCAAGGCUAAAACUCAAAGGAAUUGACGGGGACCCGCACAAGCGGCGGAGCAUGCGGAUUAAUUCGAUGCAACGCGAAGAACCUUACCAAGGCUUGACAUACACGAGAACGCUGCAGAAAUGUAGAACUCUUUGGACACUCGUGAACAGGUGGUGCAUGGUUGUCGUCAGCUCGUGUCGUGAAAUGUUGGGUUAAGUCCCGCAACGAGCGCAACCCUCGUUCUAUGUUGCCAGCACGUAAUGGUGGGAACUCAUGGGAUACUGCCGGGGUCAACUCAGAGGAAGGUGGGGAUGACGUCAAAUCAUCAUGCCCCUUAUGUCUUGGGCUUCACGCAUGCUACAUGGCCCGGUACAAGG
RNAcentral lists this ribosomal RNA (900 nucleotides) under uncultured Actinomyces sp. Its description in RNAcentral is "bacterial SSU rRNA". It matches the Rfam family "Bacterial small subunit ribosomal RNA", at positions 333 to 1244 of the family's 1533-position model. The record is from RNAcentral. Lineage: Bacteria; Bacillati; Actinomycetota; Actinomycetes; Actinomycetales; Actinomycetaceae.